AUCAUGCUCAGGACGAACGCUGGCGGCGUGCCUAAUACAUGCAAGUCGAGCGGACAGAUGGGAGCUUGCUCCCUGAUGUUAGCGGCGGACGGGUGAGUAACACGUGGGUAACCUGCCUGUAAGACUGGGAUAACUCCGGGAAACCGGCUAAUACCGGAUGGUUGUCUGAACCGCAUGGUUCAGACAUGGUGGCUUCGGCUACCACUUACAGAUGGACCCGCGGCGCAUUAGCUAGUUGGUGAGGUAACGGCUCACCAAGGCGACGAUGCGUAGCCGACCUGAGAGGGUGAUCGGCCACACUGGGACUGAGACACGGCCCAGACUCCUACGGGAGGCAGCAGUAGGGAAUCUUCCGCAAUGGACGAAGUCUGACGGAGCAACGCCGCGUGAGUGAUGAAGGUUUUCGGAUCGUAAAGCUCUGUUGUUAGGGAAGAACAAGUGCCGUUCAAAUAGGGCGGCACCUUGACGGUACCUAACCAGAAGCCACGGCUAACUACGUGCCAGCAGCCGCGGUAAUACGUAGGUGGCAAGCGUUGUCCGGAAUUAUUGGGCGUAAAGGGCUCGCAGGCGGUUUCUUAAGUCUGAUGUGAAGCCCCCGGCUCAACCGGGGAGGGUCAUUGGAAACUGGGGAACUUGAGUGCAGAAGAGGAGAGUGGAAUUCCACGUGUAGCGGUGAAAUGCGUAGAGAUGUGGAGGAACACCAGUGGCGAAGGCGACUCUCUGGUCUGUAACUGACGCUGAGGAGCGAG
RNAcentral lists this ribosomal RNA (749 nucleotides) under Bacillus sp. (in: firmicutes). RNAcentral describes it as "bacterial SSU rRNA". It matches the Rfam family "Bacterial small subunit ribosomal RNA", at positions 16 to 757 of the family's 1533-position model. The record is from RNAcentral. Lineage: Bacteria; Bacillati; Bacillota; Bacilli; Caryophanales; Bacillaceae.